RNAcentral lists this transfer RNA (70 nucleotides) under Burkholderiaceae bacterium. RNAcentral describes it as "tRNA-OTHER". It matches the Rfam family "tRNA". From Rfam's summary of the family: Transfer RNA (tRNA) molecules are approximately 80 nucleotides in length. Their secondary structure includes four short double-helical elements and three loops (D, anti-codon, and T loops). Further hydrogen bonds mediate the characteristic L-shaped molecular structure. tRNAs have two regions of fundamental functional importance: the anti-codon, which is responsible for specific mRNA codon recognition, and the 3' end, to which the tRNAs corresponding amino acid is attached (by aminoacyl-tRNA synthetases). tRNAs cope with the degeneracy of the genetic code in two manners: having more than one tRNA (with a specific anti-codon) for a particular amino acid; and 'wobble' base-pairing, i.e. permitting non-standard base-pairing at the 3rd anti-codon position. Lineage: Bacteria; Pseudomonadati; Pseudomonadota; Betaproteobacteria; Burkholderiales; Burkholderiaceae. The record is from RNAcentral.
GGGGGUAUAGCUCAGCUGGGAGAGCGCUUGCAGCAAGAGGUCAGCGGUUCGAUCCCGCUUAUCUCCACCA